GACGAACGCUGGCGGCGUGGAUUAGGCAUGCAAGUCGAACGGUAGGGACCUUUCGGGGUUCUGAGAGUGGCGAACGGGUGAGUAACACGUAGGUUAUCUACCCUCAAAUUGGGGACAACCCAGGGAAACUUGGGCUAAUACCGAAUGAGUGCAGUUUUAGGAUUGCAUAAAAGAUGGCGUAAGCUGUUGUUUGAGGAUGAGCCUGCGCUCUAUUAGUUAGUCGGUGAGGUAACGGCUCACCAAGGCGAUGAUAGAUAGGCGGCCUUAACGGGUGGUCGCCCANACUGGGAUUGAGAUACGGCCCAGACUCCUACGGGAGCAGCAGUCGAGAAUAGUCUACAAUGGACGAAAGUCUGAUAGUGCGACGCCGCGUGAACGAUGAAUCCC
This 387-nucleotide ribosomal RNA is filed under the name uncultured bacterium. Its description in RNAcentral is "bacterial SSU rRNA". It matches the Rfam family "Bacterial small subunit ribosomal RNA", at positions 28 to 416 of the family's 1533-position model. The record is from RNAcentral.